RNAcentral lists this unclassified non-coding RNA (368 nucleotides) under uncultured Tomentella. RNAcentral's name for it is "sequence contains ITS1". The stretch from base 1 to 106 matches the Rfam family "5.8S ribosomal RNA", at positions 50 to 154 of the family's 154-position model. Lineage: Eukaryota; Fungi; Basidiomycota; Agaricomycetes; Thelephorales; Thelephoraceae. The record is from RNAcentral.
GAAAUGCGAUAAGUAAUGUGAAUUGCAGAAUUCAGUGAAUCAUCGAAUCUUUGAACGCACCUUGCGCCCUUUGGCUAUUCCGAAGGGCAUGCCUGUUUGAGUAUCAUGAACACCUCAACUCUCAUGGCUUGCCAUGAUGAGCUUGGACGAUGGGGGUCUUGCUGGCCUGUGGUCAGCUCCUCUCAAAUAAAUCAGCUUGCCAGUGUUUGGUGGCGUCACAGGUGUGAUAACUAUCUACGCUUGUGGUUUUCCACUAGGUAACCUUUGGCAACAGAGGUUCGCUGGGGCUUAUAAAGGUCUCUCCUCGGUGAGGGACAGCUCUUUGAACGUUUGAUCUCAAAUCAGGUAGGACUACCCGCUGAACUUAA